This 459-nucleotide ribosomal RNA is filed under the name uncultured bacterium. Its description in RNAcentral is "bacterial SSU rRNA". It matches the Rfam family "Bacterial small subunit ribosomal RNA", at positions 29 to 490 of the family's 1533-position model. The record is from RNAcentral.
AGUGAACGCUGGCGGAAUGCUUUACACAUGCAAGUCGAGCGGCAGCAUGGACUUCGGUCUGAUGGCGAGCGGCGAACGGGUGAGUAAUGCAUCGGAACGUGCCGUGUAGUGGGGGAUAACGUAGCGAAAGUUACGCUAAUACCGCAUACGAUCUACGGAUGAAAGCGGGGGAUCUUCGGACCUCGCGCUAUACGAGCGGCCGAUGUCUGAUUAGCUAGUUGGUGGGGUAAAGGCCCACCAAGGCGACGAUCAGUAGCGGGUCUGAGAGGAUGAUCCGCCACACUGGGACUGAGACACGGCCCAGACUCCUACGGGAGGCAGCAGUGGGGAAUUUUGGACAAUGGGGGAAACCCUGAUCCAGCCAUUCCGCGUGGGUGAAGAAGGCCUUCGGUUGUAAGCCUUUGUCUGGAGCAAUCUGUCGCUAUACCGGCUGGGGAGUGAGAGUACCAGAAGAAUAAG